CAGUCGCCGCGGAAUACGGAGGGAGCUAGCGUUGUUCGGAAUUACUGGGCGUAAAGCGCACGUAGGCGGCUUUGUAAGUUAGAGGUGAAAGCCUGGAGCUCAACUCCAGAAUUGCCUUUAAGACUGCAUCGCUUGAAUCCAGGAGAGGUGAGUGGAAUUCCGAGUGUAGAGGUGAAAUUCGUAGAUAUUCGGAAGAACACCAGUGGCGAAGGCGGCUCACUGGACUGGUAUUGACGCUGAGGUGCGAAAGCGUGGGGAGCAAACAGGAUUAGAUACCCGAGUAGUCCCUGUCUCUUAUACA
Molecule: ribosomal RNA, 301 nt
Filed under: uncultured bacterium
Lineage: Bacteria
Description: partial 16S ribosomal RNA
Rfam family: Bacterial small subunit ribosomal RNA
Source: RNAcentral